GGGCCUUGCCGGCGUUUCCAUUCACUCACCGCGCUCGUGCUCCUACGUGCCUGUCCGCUCUCCCUCUCUCCCUCCCUCGCGCGCCUAAGGCCAACGAGCGACAAACUACGCGACGCCCGCGCCGACGUCGAAGGAGGCAGGUCCGCAGGUGGGCUACGGCGAGGAGCGGUGGGGUGGGAUAUAUUACGGCGCGUGCAGUCGCCGGUGGCGCCCGGGGCGGUGACGGUGGAGAAGGCCAUGGACGAGGGAGGCCCAGGCGGAGGCGCGUGGUCCCUCUAGGCGGCGGCGGCGGAGGAGGAGGGCCGAGGGAGCGCGGUACCGGCGGUGGCCUCGGCUACGGCGGCGGCGAGGGGGCAGGGACGAGCAGAAAAGUCCACCUUGUCGUAAAUUACCGCAGCAUCUUCUCAACUUCUUUCACUGAUGGGCCCAACGCGUACAGGAUGGUCAAAGACUACUACCACCUUCGUGUCGACUCUAACAAGCACAAGAACCACCUGGACGACACCCACUGUAUUCUAGUUCUACGAACUCUGACAGGCUACUUUCGUGAAACCUUCGUGAGAGGCAGGCCUCUAACGAACCCGUGGCAAACGGAGAACUAGGAAGUCUUCGUUUCGACCUCACCAUGGUAUAACACCUUCCUCUUGUGAGAAAUACCCUACCACAGAGAGCAGGGAUGUCCCUUUGUUAGGCACGUAAAAACCAGAUGAAGGUAUUACUCUAGGAAGCCGCUGGUCAACUUUGUAAAAGGAAGUGGUUACCGUCGUAACCCUUAAAGAAAAAACGACCGCGUGCGUAUAAGAAGGUCAGAAACCUACGACGCUAGAAAAACAAAAGUGCACACAGUGUUUAGGGACGCCUUUCAGAACACGAAGGUCAUUAUAGGUGUUUACUGUCCGAAUGAGACCCCACACUUAAUACCCUACCUUGAUAAUAGGCUCCGGUUUUACUUUAUAGUGUAGGUUCGUUACCGGCAUCUCUUCAUCAACUGUUCUUGACAUUAAGUACGUGGCGUGAAGGAAGUUCGUAGUUCGCGCAGAAGAUGUACAGUUCACUUCCAACGUUGGAUAACGUACUCCACAAAGGACUUCGAUUGGUAUGUCAAAACCUCGUCGAUUCAUUCCACCUAACGUAACAUAUACGCUACCCCAGCGAUAAAUGUAGUCAAACAGGUAGUGACCAUGACGCACCGUAACCACUCUGAUAUCGUAGUUCCAGGUAAGGGUUCCAUGAAGAAAAUUUACCUAGUGUACUAUCUCUUUGAUAACCCGACAGACGAAGACCGAAACACUGACGUUAAUGCCUAAGAGAUUUAGCCUGUAUACCACUAGGACUGUUUUCAGAUUUCAUAGUAGGGUUUCUGAUACAAUUACGGUAUAACCAAGGACUUCCUCCGGUUUAAGGAAAUCUACAACUUUUAAACCGUAGAUUUCCUUAAAAAGUACACAAUUGGCACUUUAGACAUGCGCUGUGCUUCCACCCACAGUAUAAACUAGGCGUCAGAAAUUAGGUUCGAGACUGGCCAGACUAUAGGCUCGUGUACCUACGUACGGAGCGCCUUGGACUGGGAGAUUGACUUUUGCACUGCAGACAUACGACUUAGAGACUUCCUACGUGAAAGUCCAUGUAUCAUACGGUCAGGAUAAGAAUAGUACAAUCACCAGGAUGAAGUCUAUCACGACGUCCAAACGUGGUUUUACUGUGCCAACUUUCCUUUUGGAUUUUACAUAUUGUCAUCCAAAAUCAGAGGGAGAGCUUUCUUGACAGUAAGUAAAGUCAAGACCACUUAUCGCUACGAAGGUCUGCUAAGGUCACGGACGAAGCCAACGGUCAAGAUGAAGGAUAAACCGUGAUGACACCCUUUCGGUUAUCCCGUUCGACUAAUUUUGUAGAUUUAUACACUGUGAAUGCUGUCAGAGUCACGUAAACAUAGAUUAAUUCAAUAUCGAUCCAUGACAUAUUGACAGGAUCACCGAACAUAGAAACACAACAUAGAUUUUAACAACUUAACUCGUACAGCAAAUACUAGAUGAACCGUAAAAUUGG
RNAcentral lists this ribosomal RNA (2046 nucleotides) under Triticum aestivum (bread wheat). RNAcentral describes it as "partial small subunit ribosomal RNA". Lineage: Eukaryota; Viridiplantae; Streptophyta; Magnoliopsida; Poales; Poaceae. The record is from RNAcentral.